This 876-nucleotide ribosomal RNA is filed under the name uncultured archaeon. RNAcentral describes it as "bacterial SSU rRNA". It matches the Rfam family "Archaeal small subunit ribosomal RNA", at positions 9 to 865 of the family's 1478-position model. The record is from RNAcentral.
UGAUCCUGCCGGACCCCACUGCUAUCGGGAUAGGACUAAGACAUGCUAGUCGAGCGCUUCAGCCAAAAAGAGGCGCGGCAUACAGCUCAGUAACACGUGGCUAAUCUGCCCUUAGGACGAGAACAACCCCGGGAAACUGGGGCUAAUUCUCGAUAGGCGAAGAACUCUGGAAUGAGUCUUCACCCAAAAAGCUUUACGUUAUGCGCGUGAAGUCGCCUAAGGAUGAGGCCGCGACCGAUCAGGUUGUUGGUGAGGUAAUGGCUCACCAAGCCUUUUACCGGUGCGGGCCGUGAGAGCGGGAGCCCGGAGAUGGGCACUGAGACAAGGGCCCAGGCCCUACGGGGCGCAGCAGUCGCGAAAACUUUGCAAUACACGAAAGUGUGACAGGGCUAUCCCGAGUGCCAUCCGCUGAGGAAGGCUUUUACCCAGUCUAGAACGCUGGGGGAAUAAGGAGAGGGCAAGUCUGGUGUCAGCCGCCGCGGUAAUACCAGCUCUCCGAGUGGUGUGGAUGUUUAUUGGGCCUAAAGCAUCCGUAGCUGGCUAAGUUAGUCCCUUGUUAAAUCCACCGAAUUAAUCGUUGGAUUGCGGGGGAUACUGCUUGGCUAGGGGACGAGAGAGGCAGACGGUAUUCCCGGGGUAGGGGUGAAAUCCUAUAAUCCCGAGAAGACCACCAGUGGCGAAGGCUGUCUGCUAGAACGCGCCCGACGGUGAGGGAUGAAAGCUGGGGGAGCGAACCGGAUUAGAUACCCGGGUAGUCCCAGCUGUAAACGAUGCAGGCUAGGUGUUUGGACGGCCACGUGCCGUUCUAGUGCCGCAGGGAAGCUGUUAAGCCUGCCGCCUGGGGAGUACGAUCGCAAGAUUGAAACUUAAAGGAAU